RNAcentral lists this unclassified non-coding RNA (385 nucleotides) under uncultured Phycisphaerae bacterium. Its description in RNAcentral is "contains 16S-23S intergenic spacer region". Lineage: Bacteria; Pseudomonadati; Planctomycetota; Phycisphaerae. The record is from RNAcentral.
UCCGGCUUAACGCCGGCAGUCUCGCUAGAGUUCCCGGCAUGACCCGCUGGCAACUAGCGAUAAGGGUUUCGCUCGUUAAGGGACUUAACCCGACACUUCACAGCACGAGCUGACGACAGCCAUGCAGCACCUGUGCACGUUUCACCCGAAGGCAGCCUACUCGACUUUCGCCAAGAGCAUCCGUGCAUGUCAAACCUAGGUAAGGUUCUUCGCGUUGCUUCGAAUUAAUCCACAUGCUCCACCGCUUGUGUGAGCCCCCGUCAAUUCCUUUGAGUUUUAGCCUUGCGGCCGUACUCCCCAGGCGGCGCACUUAACGCUUUUGUUUCGACACGAACAACGUCAGAGUCACUCGUAUCUAGUGCGCAUCGUUUACGGCGUGGACUAC